This 497-nucleotide ribosomal RNA is filed under the name uncultured bacterium. RNAcentral describes it as "partial 16S ribosomal RNA". It matches the Rfam family "Bacterial small subunit ribosomal RNA", at positions 28 to 507 of the family's 1533-position model. The record is from RNAcentral.
GAUGAACGCUGGCGGCGUGCCUAAUACAUGCAAGUCGAGCGAACAGACGAGGAGCUUGCUCCUCUGACGUUACCGGCGGACGGGUGAGUAACACGUGGAUAACCUACCUAUAAGACUGGGAUAACUUCGGGAAACCGGAGCUAAUACCGGAUAACAUGUUGAACCGCAUGGUUCAACAGUGAAAGACGGUCUUGCUGUCACUUAUAGAUGGAUCCGCGCCGCAUUAGCUAGUUGGUAAGGUAACGGCUUACCAAGGCAACGAUGCGUAGCCGACCUGAGAGGGUGAUCGGCCACACUGGAACUGAGACACGGUCCAGACUCCUACGGGAGGCAGCAGUAGGGAAUCUUCCGCAAUGGGCGAAAGCCUGACGGAGCAACGCCGCGUGAGUGAAGAAGGUCUUCGGAUCGUAAAACUCUGUUAUUAGGGAAGAACAAAUGUGUAAGUAACUAUGCACGUCUUGACGGUACCUAAUCAGAAAGCCACGGCUAACUACGUG